RNAcentral lists this long non-coding RNA (217 nucleotides) under Gossypium barbadense (sea-island cotton). Its description in RNAcentral is "long non-coding RNA (GBAR_LNC008052)". Lineage: Eukaryota; Viridiplantae; Streptophyta; Magnoliopsida; Malvales; Malvaceae. The record is from RNAcentral.
UCCCAAACUUCUUUUUUGAUUCAGGGAGCAUUUCCUGGUCUACACCUUGGAAUUUGAGACUGGAUAUCUUAGUAAAUUGAAGAAGUGCUGGGCUCAGACUCAGCUGUGAUCAAUCUUCCUUGAAGUUCGAUUAAUUUUCACUAGAUAGAGGGGAAAACUUAGUUCAACCUCAAUACCGAAAGUAAUGGUAUAGGAAGAAUCCGAGGAUGAGAAUGAG